UACGGAGGGUGCAAGCGUUAUUCGGAAUCAUUGGGCGUAAAGGGCGCGUAGGCGGCUUUGUAAGUCAGAUGUGAAAGCCCGGGGCUUAACCCCGGAAGUGCAUUUGAAACUACAAAACUUGAGUAUGGGAGAGGAGAGCGGAAUUCCUGGUGUAGAGGUGAAAUGCGUAGAUAUUAGGAGGAACACCAGUAGCGAAGGCGGCUCUCUGGACUGUAACUGACGCUGAGGCACGAAAGCGUGGGGAGCAAACAGGAUUAGAUACCCCGGUAGUCCCUGAG
Molecule: ribosomal RNA, 278 nt
Filed under: uncultured prokaryote
Description: partial 16S ribosomal RNA
Rfam family: Bacterial small subunit ribosomal RNA
Source: RNAcentral